AUAUUAAGGACUAUUUGAUGUAGUAUCAUGCAGUAGCAUCACCUGUCUGUGCAGUUUCAUUAACAGAUGGAAAUAAAGUCAGCUGGGGGCUUUGAACUGAGUACAUGUGAGUAGGGGAGGGAGGCGGCCUCAAGUACUGGCUGGAAUGGCUGAACCUGUCUUAUGAUAACUGUUUUUAGUGUAUUUUAGCUCUUAGUUCCUGUUGCUUGAAAAUAUUCUGGUAUCAUGUGGAAUAAAAGAGAAAGAGUUGGGAGGUAUAUACCAGGCCAGACCGGAAGGAGACUAACAACAAAGUGCAUGUUGCACCUGACCGAUUGCUCAUCAGCAUUUCAUAGGGACCUGAUAGUACAUCCUCAGCAGGCCUUGGUCAAAUAUUGGUAGGCAAGAGCUGGGUAAGAACUCUUGGUACAGCUUCUCCUUGCAUUUACUGCAUGAUGAAAAGAGAAUCCUUUAAGCUUUCUGCCUCCAAUUUCUAACGGUAAAAUGUGAAAAAAUGAAGUUUACACAGUGAAAAA
This 515-nucleotide long non-coding RNA is filed under the name Numida meleagris (helmeted guineafowl). RNAcentral describes it as "lncRNA (ENSNMEG00000013007.1)". Lineage: Eukaryota; Metazoa; Chordata; Aves; Galliformes; Numididae. The record is from RNAcentral.